RNAcentral lists this ribosomal RNA (1090 nucleotides) under Fusarium sp. WF157. RNAcentral's name for it is "eukaryotic LSU rRNA". The stretch from base 485 to 1090 matches the Rfam family "Eukaryotic large subunit ribosomal RNA", at positions 1 to 630 of the family's 3401-position model. Lineage: Eukaryota; Fungi; Ascomycota; Sordariomycetes; Hypocreales; Nectriaceae. The record is from RNAcentral.
UCGUUGGUGACCAGCGGAGGGUCAUUACCGAGUUUACAACUCCCAAACCCCUGUGAACAUACCACUUGUUGCCUCGGCGGAUCAGCCCGCUCCCGGUAAAACGGGACGGCCCGCCAGAGGACCCCUAAACUCUGUUUCUAUAUGUAACUUCUGAGUAAAACCAUAAAUAAAUCAAAACUUUCAACAACGGAUCUCUUGGUUCUGGCAUCGAUGAAGAACGCAGCAAAAUGCGAUAAGUAAUGUGAAUUGCAGAAUUCAGUGAAUCAUCGAAUCUUUGAACGCACAUUGCGCCCGCCAGUAUUCUGGCGGGCAUGCCUGUUCGAGCGUCAUUUCAACCCUCAAGCACAGCUUGGUGUUGGGACUCGCGUUAAUUCGCGUUCCUCAAAUUGAUUGGCGGUCACGUCGAGCUUCCAUAGCGUAGUAGUAAAACCCUCGUUACUGGUAAUCGUCGCGGCCACGCCGUUAAACCCCAACUUCUGAAUGUUGACCUCGGAUCAGGUAGGAAUACCCGCUGAACUUAAGCAUAUCAAUAAGCGGAGGAAAAGAAACCAACAGGGAUUGCCCUAGUAACGGCGAGUGAAGCGGCAACAGCUCAAAUUUGAAAUCUGGCUCUCGGGCCCGAGUUGUAAUUUGUAGAGGAUACUUUUGAUGCGGUGCCUUCCGAGUUCCCUGGAACGGGACGCCAUAGAGGGUGAGAGCCCCGUCUGGUUGGAUGCCAAAUCUCUGUAAAGUUCCUUCAACGAGUCGAGUAGUUUGGGAAUGCUGCUCUAAAUGGGAGGUAUAUGUCUUCUAAAGCUAAAUACCGGCCAGAGACCGAUAGCGCACAAGUAGAGUGAUCGAAAGAUGAAAAGCACUUUGAAAAGAGAGUUAAAAAGUACGUGAAAUUGUUGAAAGGGAAGCGUUUAUGACCAGACUUGGGCUUGGUUAAUCAUCUGGGGUUCUCCCCAGUGCACUUUUCCAGUCCAGGCCAGCAUCAGUUUUCCCCGGGGGAUAAAGGCGGCGGGAAUGUGGCUCUCUUCGGGGAGUGUUAUAGCCCACCGUGUAAUACCCUGGGGGGGACUGAGGUUCGCGCAUCUGCAAGGAUGCGGCG